AUAACCGGCGAACGGGUGCGUAACACGUGAACAACCUGCCCUCGUGUGGGGGAUAGCCGGGCUAACGCCCGAGUAAUACCGCAUACGUUCUCUUGGGGGAGUCCCUGAGGGAGGAAAGCUCCGGCGCACGGGGAGGGGUUCGCGGCCUAUCAGCUAGUUGGCGGGGUAAUGGCCCACCAAGGCGACGACGGGUAGCUGGUCUGAGAGGAUGGCCAGCCACAUUGGGACUGAGAGACGGCCCAG
Molecule: ribosomal RNA, 243 nt
Filed under: uncultured bacterium
Lineage: Bacteria
Description: partial 16S ribosomal RNA
Rfam family: Bacterial small subunit ribosomal RNA
Source: RNAcentral